This 252-nucleotide ribosomal RNA is filed under the name uncultured bacterium. Its description in RNAcentral is "partial 16S ribosomal RNA". It matches the Rfam family "Bacterial small subunit ribosomal RNA", at positions 524 to 776 of the family's 1533-position model. The record is from RNAcentral.
UACGUAGGGGGCGAGCGUUGUCCGGAUUUACUGGGCGUAAAGGGUGAGUAGGCGGUUAUAUAUGUCAGGUGUAAAAAGCUAUGGCUUAACCAUAGUAAGCACUUGAAACUGUAUGACUUGAGUGCAGGAGAGGUAAGCGGAAUUCCUAGUGUAGCGGUGAAAUGCGUAGAUAUUAGGAGGAACACCGGUGGCGAAGGCGGCUUACUGGACUGUAACUGACGCUGAGUCACGAAAGCGUGGGUAGCAAACAGG